This is a non-coding RNA of Vicia faba (fava bean), 285 nucleotides long. NCBI's taxonomy places the organism in Eukaryota, Viridiplantae, Streptophyta, Magnoliopsida, Fabales, Fabaceae. The record is from the annotation of a GenBank genome assembly.
AUGCCUUUCUUCUCCGUUGCAAACGGCGAUCCUCUUCUGCGCCAAUUUCGGUUUGCACACUGUGGCUUUGUACUUUGUUCAUCAAUCUCAGGCUUUAGGCACCGUGAAUCAUCAUCUCGCUUAGAUCUCGAUUUUGACUCAUUCUUCUUCUUCGUGAUUCGGUUUCACUAUUCAUCAUUUCUCGCGAAUCAGCAACGACGGAGUUCUCCGAACGAGAUCAAUGAUAAUAGAUACGACGCGGUUGCUAUGUUGAUUCCAAAGAUGAUGAAGCUUGUAGAGGAUUGA